RNAcentral lists this ribosomal RNA (2798 nucleotides) under Lactiplantibacillus plantarum. RNAcentral's name for it is "bacterial LSU rRNA". It matches the Rfam family "Bacterial large subunit ribosomal RNA". The record is from RNAcentral. Lineage: Bacteria; Bacillati; Bacillota; Bacilli; Lactobacillales; Lactobacillaceae.
AACCCAGCAGUUUUAAUCAACUGUUACCACUAGAUGAAUUCAUAGUCUAGUUGGAGGUAAACGCUGUGAACUGAAACAUCUCAUUAGCAGCAGGAAUAUAAAGAAAUUUCGAUUCCCUAAGUAGCGGCGAGCGAACGGGGAACAGCCCAAACCAAAGUGCUUGCACUUUGGGGUUGUAGGACUGAACAUUUGAGUUACCAAAGAACUUGAUAGUCGAAGGAUUUGGGAAAAUCCGCCAUAGAUGGUGAUAGCCCAGUAGAUUAAAUCAAAUUCUCUCAGUUCAGGAUCCUGAGUACGGCGGAACACGUGAAAUUCCGUCGGAAUCCGGGAGGACCAUCUCCCAAGGCUAAAUACUACCUAGUGACCGAUAGUGAACCAGUACCGUGAGGGAAAGGUGAAAAGCACCCCGGGAGGGGAGUGAAAUAGUUCCUGAAACCAUGUGCCUACAAUAAGUCAGAGCGCGUUAAUGCGUGAUGGCGUGCCUUUUGUAGAAUGAACCGGCGAGUUAUGAUCCCGUGCAAGGUUAAGACUAAAAAGUCGGAGCCGUAGCGAAAGCGAGUCUGAAAUGGGCGUUUUGAGUACGAGGUUAUAGACCCGAAACCAGGUGACCUAUCCAUGUCCAGGUUGAAGGUGCGGUAAAACGCACUGGAGGACCGAACCCGUGUAAGUUGAAAAUUGCUGGGAUGAGGUGUGGAUAGCGGUGAAAUUCCAAACGAACUUGGAGAUAGCUGGUUCUCUCCGAAAUAGCUUUAGGGCUAGCCUCGGAAUUAGGAUCAUGGAGGUAGAGCACUAUUUGGACUAGGGGCCCGUCUUGGGUUACUGAAUUCAGAUAAACUCCGAAUGCCAUUGAUUCAUAUCCGGGAGUCAGACGAUGAGUGAUAAGAUCCACCGUCGAAAGGGGAACAGCCCAGACCAUCAGUUAAGGUCCCUAAAUGUAUGCUAAGUGGAAAAGGAUGUGGAGUUGCAUAGACAACUAGGAUGUUGGCUCAGAAGCAGCCACCAUUUAAAGAGUGCGUAAUAGCUCACUAGUCGAGUGAUCCUGCGCCGAAAAUGUACCGGGGCUAAGCAUACUACCGAAACCAUGGAUGCGACCAUUAGGUCGCGUGAUAGGAGAGCGUUCUAAGGGCGGUGAAGCAAGAUCGUGAGGACUUGUGGAGCGCUUAGAAGUGAGAAUGCCGGUAUGAGUAGCGAAAGAUAGGUGAGAAUCCUAUCCACCGAAUGACUAAGGUUUCCUGGGGAAGGCUCGUCCUCCCAGGGUUAGUCGGGACCUAAGUCGAGGCCGAGAGGCGUAGACGAUGGAUAACAGGUUGAGAUUCCUGUACUAGUUAAGUGCGUUUGAGCAAUGGAGGGACGCAGGAGGCUAAGAUGUGCAUUCUGUUGGAUUAGAAUGUCCAAGCAGUAAGUCUUGUGAAGAGUCAAAUGCUUUUCACUUUAAGGACAAGCUGUGAUGGGGAGCGAAAUUUAGUAGCGAAGCGUCUGAUGUCACACUGCCGAGAAAAGCUUCUAGUGAGUACUUAACUACCCGUACCGCAAACCGACACAGGUAGUCGAGGAGAGAAUCCUAAGGUGAGCGAGUGAACUCUCGUUAAGGAACUCGGCAAAAUGACCCCGUAACUUCGGGAGAAGGGGUGCUGAUCGCAAGAUCAGCCGCAGUGAAUAGGCCCAGGCGACUGUUUAUCAAAAACACAGGUCUCUGCAAAAUCGUAAGAUGACGUAUAGGGGCUGACGCCUGCCCGGUGCUGGAAGGUUAAAAGGAUGGGUUAGCUUCGGCGAAGCUCAGAAUUGAAGCCCCAGUAAACGGCGGCCGUAACUAUAACGGUCCUAAGGUAGCGAAAUUCCUUGUCGGGUAAGUUCCGACCCGCACGAAAGGCGUAACGAUCUGGGCACUGUCUCAACGAGAGACUCGGUGAAAUUAUAUUGUCCGUGAAGAUGCGGACUACCCGCGACAGGACGGAAAGACCCCAUGGAGCUUUACUGUAGCUUGAUAUUGAGUGUUUGUACAGCUUGUACAGGAUAGGUAGGAGCCAUAGAAACCGGAACGCUAGUUUCGGUGGAGGCGUUGGUGGGAUACUACCCUCGCUGUAUGACCACUCUAACCCGCACCACUAAUCGUGGUGGGAGACAGUGUCAGGUGGGCAGUUUGACUGGGGCGGUCGCCUCCUAAAAAGUAACGGAGGCGCCCAAAGGUUCCCUCAGAAUGGUUGGAAAUCAUUCGCAGAGUGUAAAGGCACAAGGGAGCUUGACUGCGAGACAGACAGGUCGAGCAGGGACGAAAGUCGGGCUUAGUGAUCCGGUGGUACCGUAUGGAAGGGCCAUCGCUCAACGGAUAAAAGCUACCCUGGGGAUAACAGGCUUAUCUCCCCCAAGAGUCCACAUCGACGGGGAGGUUUGGCACCUCGAUGUCGGCUCAUCGCAUCCUGGGGCUGUAGUCGGUCCCAAGGGUUGGGCUGUUCGCCCAUUAAAGCGGUACGCGAGCUGGGUUCAGAACGUCGUGAGACAGUUCGGUCCCUAUCCGUCGCGGGCGUAGGAAAUUUGAGAGGACCUGUCCUUAGUACGAGAGGACCGGGAUGGACAUACCUCUGGUGUACCAGUUGUGCCGCCAGGCGCAUCGCUGGGUAGCUACGUAUGGAUGUGAUAAACGCUGAAAGCAUCUAAGUGUGAAACACACCUCGAGAUGAGAUUUCCCAUUCCUUUAUGGAAGUAAGACCCCUGAAAGAUGAUCAGGUAGAUAGGUUAGAAGUGGCAGUGCGGUGACGCAUGAAGCGGACUAAUACUAAUCGGUCGAGGACUUAACCAAG